GACGAACGCUGGCGGCGUGCCUAAUACAUGCAAGUAGAACGCUGAAGAGAGGAGCUUGCUCUUCUUGGAUGAGUUGCGAACGGGUGAGUAACGCGUAGGUAACCUGCCUUGUAGCGGGGGAUAACUAUUGGAAACGAUAGCUAAUACCGCAUAACAAUGGAUGACACAUGUCAUUUAUUUGAAAGGGGCAAUUGCUCCACUACAAGAUGGACCUGCGUUGUAUUAGCUAGUAGGUGAGGUAAUGGCUCACCUAGGCGACGAUACAUAGCCGACCUGAGAGGGUGAUCGGCCACACUGGGACUGAGACACGGCCCAAACUCCUACGGGAGGCAGCAGUAGGGAAUCUUCGGCAAUGGGGGCAACCCUGACCGAGCAACGCCGCGUGAGUGAAGAAGAUUUUCGGAUCGUAAAGCUCUGUUGUAAGUCAAGAACGGGUGUGAGAGUGGAAAGUUCACACUGUGACGGUAGCUUACCAGAAAGGGACGGCUAACUACGUG
Molecule: ribosomal RNA, 497 nt
Filed under: uncultured bacterium
Lineage: Bacteria
Description: partial 16S ribosomal RNA
Rfam family: Bacterial small subunit ribosomal RNA
Source: RNAcentral